Gastrolobium bilobum is the source of this 3339-nucleotide RNA transcript. It is a transcript of the gene named lysine-specific demethylase JMJ27, with no coding region annotated. Lineage: Eukaryota; Viridiplantae; Streptophyta; Magnoliopsida; Fabales; Fabaceae. The record is from RefSeq and is a predicted model, not a curated record. The transcript has 12 exons.
ACCAUCCGUCCUAUCAGAUGGAAUCCGAGUCCGAUCGGCGGUGCAAGCGUUCCGCCGGCCCAAAGUGGCGGUGCAGCGAAGCUGCGUCGCCGGGGAAAUCGUACUGUGAGAAGCACCUCACGCAGCUUAAGAAUCAUAGGCAGAAACACAAGAACGAAGGUUCCAAGGCGGAGCAGAGAGCAAAGAAGAGGACAGUCGCGGAUCUCAGUAGUGGAUCGGAGGCUGAGUUGAUUGGGAAUUCGGCGAGAAAUCAAAAGCGGACAAAGAAGAACGUGAUUGAUCAAGACAAUGCAGGUGGUUGUGGCAAGUCACUAAUGAAUGUGUUUCAGGUCAAGAAGGACUCACGAGCCAAAAUUGGAGUUCAAGAUACCAAACAACUGGGCUUUUCCAGCAAAACCAAGGAGAGUGGAAGUUUAAUGUGUCAUCAGUGCCAACGGAAUGAUAAGACUGGCGUUGUCUUUUGCUCAAGUUGCAAUGCAAAACGCUAUUGUUAUGAAUGCCUUGAGAAGUGGUACCCAGGAAAAACCUGGGAGGAAGUUGAGAAUGUAUGUCCAUUUUGUUGGGGCAAUUGCAACUGCAAAGCUUGUUUGCGGGAGGUUCCAGUGCUUAGGCAACCAGAAGUAAAUCCCAGUGUCAAAUUACAACGACUGCUGUACUUACUAUGUAAAGCUCUGCCAGUUCUGAGGCACAUUCACAGGGAGCAGAGCUUUGAAUUAGAGAUUGAAGCCAAAAUAAGGGGUAAUCAACUACAAGAAAUUGACGUAACAAGAACAAAGCUAGAUGAAAGUGAGCGCUUGUACUGUGACAAUUGCAGUACAUCUAUAAUUGGAUUUUACCGUAGCUGCCCCAACCCCACUUGCUCUUAUGAUCUCUGUCUCAUGUGCUGUCAAGAGCUCAGAGAGGGUUGCCAACCUGGAGGCGUAGAAGCUGAAACAUCUCAAGAACAAUUUACAGAGAGAGUUCGUAUUCAUGAUUUAACAAGAAAUAAGAGUAAAACACAUCGUAAGAGAUAUGGGUGGGAGAGCCAACUUGCACCUACUAGUUUUGAUUCUCAAACUGAUGACUUAUCUCCCUUCCCUGAAUGGAAAGCUAAUAGUGAUGGCAAUAUUCCAUGUCCUCCAAAGCAGCGUGGAGGUUGUGGUACUGGAAUACUAGAACUGAGACGCACUUUCAAAGCUAAUUGGGUAGCAAAAUUGCUAAAUAAUGCUGAGGAUCUCACUAGAGACUGCGCGCCACUGGAUGAGGAUAUUACUGAAAGAUGUUCUUUAUGCCGGCCAAAUUUGGUUGAAGGAAAAAUCAAUCCUGAAGUCCGGAGGGCAGCAUACCGGGAUGAUAGUAAUGAUAAUUUCUUAUAUUGUCCAAAUGCCCUUGACAUAUCUGAUGAUGAGAUUGAGCAUUUCCAGAGGCACUGGAUAAGGGGAGAACCCAUUGUUGUGAGAAAUAUUCUGGAUAACACAUCUGGUCUUAGUUGGGAACCGAUGGUUAUGUGGAGGGCUCUUAGAGAAACAGGUUCCAAAGUGAAGUUCAAAGAGGAAACACGAAGUGUGAAGGCCAUUGAUUGCUUCGAUUGGUGUGGGGUUGAGAUUAAUAUUCACCAAUUUUUUAAAGGCUACCUAGAGGGUCGAAUGCAUAAAAAUAAUUGGCCAGAAAUGUUGAAAUUAAAAGAUUGGCCUUCAUCGACCUCUUUCGAAGAGCGAUUACCCAGGCAUGGAAUUGAAUUUCUCGCUGCACUCCCCUAUAGGGACUACACUGACCCAAAAUCAGGUCUUUUAAAUUUUGCCAGUAAACUUCCUGAUAGCUUGCCGAAGCCAGAUUUGGGACCCAAAACCUAUAUUGCUUAUGGAUUUUCUGAAGAGCUUGGUAGAGGAGAUUCUGUCACAAAACUGCACUGUGAUGUGUCUGAUGCGGUCAAUGUGCUGACACACACAAACAAGGUGAAUAUAGCUCCCUGGCAGAGAGAAAGCAUAAAAAAAUUGCAGAAGAAAUAUGCUGAAGAAGACUCUCGUGAACUUUAUGGUGAAACAUUAGUUGAUGUUGAUGGAAGAUCUAAAUCUACAUCAUUGAAUCAUGAUCAAAAGGCAGAGAAUAGAGUUAACAGGAUUUCACCUAGUAGCCAAAUGGAUGAGUGCAUUUCAUCUAUAGCUGAAGACAUGAGUGGGAAGUUAGAAACACAGAACACUGAACAACGUGAUGAGAAUAGAAAUUGCUCUGGCACCUGUAGAAAUGUCGCUGACAGGAGCUCCUCUGCAGAAGAUAGUGUAGGUAUAACAUCUACUGGAGUUUCAGAUCAGUCCAGGACUUUCGAACUAGAACAUGUUCCAAGCAGCUUAGCUUCAACUAAUACGAGCAAUAAGAAAGACAAAAUGAGGAGUGAUUUUCUAGAUGUUAACAUGUCUGGCGAUCAAAAGUUAAGAGAGCCAAAACAAGGCCUCAGGAAAGAUUCUUUGGAAACUGAAAAUGGACCUGAGGUUGUCCAUGGUGGUGCUGUUUGGGACAUCUUUCGUCGUCAAGAUGUCCCGAAGCUAAUUGAGUACUUAAGAAACCACAAGAAGGAAUUCCGUCAUAUCAACAACCAUCCUAUAGAUUCUGGAGACAGUAUUCCUAGCUUCACAAUUGAAGCUGAGUCAUUUCCAAAGCUGCCUUUUCCUAUACUAUCUAACUCUACUAGUUUGCCGGAACUAGUGACUUAUUCUGGUGACCCAGUUGAAUCAAAUCCUAUGCCAACUAAGGCCAAAGAUGGUUCACCACAACUAGUGUAUCCAAGGAGAAAAAAGUCUGGAUUGGUCCAACAACAACUUCAGUCAUAUGAUCCUGCAGUAAGUACUAUACAUAUUGUUCCUCAUAACAUUGAAUCUGAUCCAGCAAAAUAUUCCUUUGAAUAAUUGUGAGACUGAUCCCGUUAACUUACCCAUUGUCUCGAGAAAAGAAAAAAGAUCUUGUACCAUCCUAUUUCCAAGCUUGUUUCUUUUAAAAGUCUUCCCUCGCAGCAAAAGAGUUUUAUUUCGUCCCUUGAUUCUACUAGAAUUCCAACAUAAAUUCAAGAAGCAUUAAAAGGCUAGAAAUGGACUCAAGCCAUGCAUGAAAAGAUGAUUCUUCUCCAUCGGAAGUUGUUGAUUGACAAAGAGGAAAGAGAGUAGUUGGUUGCAGAUGGAUCUAUACUCUAAAGUAUUGGUCUGAUGGUACACUUGACAGGUAUGAGGCGAGGUUAUACAUCCCAUUCAUGAUCAGACUCUAUUCUUAAAUGAGAGGCAUAAGAAACAGCUGAAAAGGGAGUUUAAUGUUGAACCAUGGACUUUUGAGCAACACCUUGGUGAGGCUGUUUUCAUUCCAGCAGGGUGU